GAUGAACGCUGGCGGCGUGCCUAAUACAUGCAAGUCGAGCGAACAGAUGAGGAGCUUGCUCCUCUGACGUUAGCGGCGGACGGGUGAGUAACACGUGGAUAACCUACCUAUAAGACUGGGAUAACUUCGGGAAACCGGAGCUAAUACCGGAUAAUAUAUUGAACCGCAUGGUUCAAUAGUGAAAGACGGUUUUGCUGUCACUUAUAGAUGGAUCCGCGCCGCAUUAGCUAGUUGGUAAGGUAACGGCUUACCAAGGCGACGAUGCGUAGCCGACCUGAGAGGGUGAUCGGCCACACUGGAACUGAGACACGGUCCAGACUCCUACGGGAAGCAGCAGUAGGGAAUCUUCCGCAAUGGGCGAAAGCCUGACGGAGCAACGCCGCGUGAGAGAUGAAGGUCUUCGGAUCGUAAAACUCUGUUAUUAGGGAAGAACAAAUGUGUAAGUAACUAUGCACGUCUUGACGGUACCUAAUCAGAAAGCCACGGCUAACUACGUG
RNAcentral lists this ribosomal RNA (497 nucleotides) under uncultured bacterium. RNAcentral describes it as "partial 16S ribosomal RNA". It matches the Rfam family "Bacterial small subunit ribosomal RNA", at positions 28 to 507 of the family's 1533-position model. The record is from RNAcentral.